This 312-nucleotide signal recognition particle RNA is filed under the name Methanomicrobiales archaeon. RNAcentral describes it as "signal recognition particle sRNA". It matches the Rfam family "Archaeal signal recognition particle RNA". Lineage: Archaea; Methanobacteriati; Methanobacteriota; Methanomicrobia; Methanomicrobiales. The record is from RNAcentral.
GUGGGGACUAGCCCGGGUGGUUCGACGUCACCUGUGACCCGAAACCGCCGGCAUGCGGGGGGCGAAGUCCGAGGACGGCUCGUGCGGUCCGUGGGAUACGGGAGCAUUCCAACGUAGAUAUCUCGUCCUGUGAGGCCGGUGGACAGGGAUCAAAGCUCCGUAGGGAGCGGCGACCUGUUGUCGUGGAGACCGGUUCAGGCCCGGAAGGGAGCAGACUUACCGCGAACAUUCGGCGCCCACGGGGUAGCGGGGUGGAGAAGGGGUGUUUCGGUGAACACGAAUGCGCUGUUCCAACCGACGACGUGUCCCCAU